GUUGGGACAAUCCCCGAACUACCUCGCUCUCACACUCACUCGGACGUAGGUGGAAGAAGAGGGACACAGAUAUUUCCGGCGCACAUACGCCCCGCCACACGAACGGCACCUCGGCUGCACGAACAGCCUAAUUUUUCAUUGAGCACGAACUCUGGCUCGGCACAUACCGCAGCCACACCCACACGCAGAACUACUGGAGACUACAUCUCUCUUAGCCACUCUCCACUCCGCACAACACCAAUACAUGGCUUAUAUAGCCGGACACACACUAGGCAUUGGCCUCAUGCACGCACGCACACGCAUGGAUCGCCCGGCCACUAAGCCAACUAACUAUGCCAUGCACCCACAACCUGCUAGCUACAUGCAUGGUCAGACUCAUGACGUGCGCAACCUCCCUCAACAGUCGAGUCCAUCCAUCUAGCUUGCAACCAACUGCUCCGGCCGCGUGCACGACGCGGCUGUCUCCAACAGAUUGCAACGGCCCUCGUGCAUGUAGCUCCUUCACUCAACUAACGUGAGCGUGGACUCACGCCGGAACACACACGCCCACGCCCUGCAUAGACCGCACCUGGCGCACCCGACGCCAGUCGCCAUCGCUCGGACAUGGCUUAUUGCCAACACUCACCCCCGAAGCCAUGACCUCGCCAUCGCCGGAGUUGUUGCAGCUCCCGUUGUUGUUGUCGUCACGAGUGUGACCCAGCCCGCGGACCCGACCUGGCGCAACGACGCCGGUCGCACCGCCACGGACCCGACCUGCCGCACUGACGCCGGUCGCACCAUGCUCCGUCAUGACUCCAGCGACACACGCCAAACUCCUUCUCCGCCGGCGACACACGCCUAGCGUGCCUCUGCGCCCCGCACGUCCCACGCGCACCCGACGCGCCCGACGAGCCCGAUCGCACCAGUGCGUCCCGCACGUCCCGCGCGCACCCAACGCGCCCGACAAGCCCGACCACACCACACGUCGUGGACUCACCGCGCGCCACUUCCGCGUCCGCCAUGGUAGCAGCAGCGCCGCGCACCUCCACGGGCCGACACACGGCCCGGAGCUUCACCGCGGAGCCGCCGGUGAACGCCGCCACCGCCGGUACGCCUCCGGCAAGGGGACGGCACCCAAGAUGAACCAGCUCAUGAUACCAAAUGUUGGGACAAUCCCCGAACUACCUCGCUCUCACACUCACUCGGACGUAGGUGGAAGAAGAGGGACACAGAUAUUUCCGGCGCACAUACGCCCCGCCGCACGAACGGCGCCUCGGCUGCACGAACAGCCUAAUUUUUCAUUGAGCACGAACUCUGGCUCGGCACAUACCGCAGCCACACCCACACGCAGAACUACUGGAGACUACAUCUCUCUUAGCCACUCUCCACUCCGCACAACACCAAUACAUGGCUUAUAUAGCCGGACACACACUAGGCAUUGGCCUCACGCACGCACGCACACGCAUGGAUCGCCCGGCCACUAAGCCAACUAACUAUGCCAUGCACCCACAACCUGCUAGCUACAUGCAUGGUCAGACUCAUGACGUGCGCAACCUCCCUCAACAGUCGAGUCCAUCCAUCUAGCUUGCAACCAACUGCUCCGGCCGCGCGCACGACGCGGCUGUCUCCAACAGAUUGCAACGGCCCUCGUGCAUGUAGCUCCUUCACUCAACUAACGUGAGCGUGGACUCACGCCGGGACACACACGCCCACGCCCUGCAUAGACCGCACCUGGCGCACCCGACGCCAGUCGCCAUCGCUCGG
Molecule: long non-coding RNA, 1743 nt
Filed under: Triticum aestivum (bread wheat)
Lineage: Eukaryota; Viridiplantae; Streptophyta; Magnoliopsida; Poales; Poaceae
Description: long non-coding RNA (TAES_LNC000588)
Source: RNAcentral